Telopea speciosissima is the source of this 125-nucleotide small nucleolar RNA. The record is from RefSeq and is a predicted model, not a curated record. NCBI's taxonomy places the organism in Eukaryota, Viridiplantae, Streptophyta, Magnoliopsida, Proteales, Proteaceae.
AUCCCAGAUAAAACUAUUUGUGGUGUUUAUCUGAUUCAUGGGAGGCCAAUAUUAACUAUGGAAGUUUCGCUGAUAACACCUUCUUAGUACUUGGAGGUGUUUUACUAGUAGCUUGCCGAACAUGA